Molecule: ribosomal RNA, 458 nt
Filed under: uncultured bacterium
Lineage: Bacteria
Description: partial 16S ribosomal RNA
Rfam family: Bacterial small subunit ribosomal RNA
Source: RNAcentral
CCUACGGGAGGCAGCAGUGAGGAAUAUUGGUCAAUGGGCGAGAGCCUGAACCAGCCAAGUCGCGUGAGGGAGUACUGCCCUAUGGGUUGUAAACCUCUUUUGUCGGGGAGCAAAAGCCGGACGUGUCCGGCUGUGAGAGUACCCGAAGAAAAAGCAUCGGCUAACUCCGUGCCAGCAGCCGCGGUAAUACGGGGGAUGCGAGUGUUAUCCGGAUUUAUUGGGGUUAAAGGGUGCGCAGGCGGAUUUUUAAGUCAGCGGUCAAAUCGUGGGGCUCAACCCCAUCCAGCCGUUGAAACUGGGGAUCUAGAGUGUGCGAGAGGUAUGCGGAAUGCGUGGUGUAGCGGUGAAAUGCAUAGAUAUCACGCAGAACCCCGAUUGCGAAGGCAGCAUACCGGUGCACAACUGACGCUCAGGCACGAAAGCGUGGGUAUCGAACAGGAUUAGAUACCCGGGUAGUC